This 241-nucleotide long non-coding RNA is filed under the name Salvia miltiorrhiza (redroot sage). RNAcentral describes it as "long non-coding RNA (SMIL_LNC014096)". The record is from RNAcentral. Lineage: Eukaryota; Viridiplantae; Streptophyta; Magnoliopsida; Lamiales; Lamiaceae.
GAUUGAUUGAGGGAGAGAGUGGUGGGUUUUUUGCCGGACAUCAGUGGUCAAACAGCGCUGCAAGAUGCUGGACUGCUACGACGGUCACCGGCGAGGUCGUUACUCAAUAAUGUGACUGAUGAAAAUAGAUGGAGAAGCGGAGUUAACAGCGACANCUUUCCUGCUAUGGAUGAAAGAUAACAGAGAAGAGGGGAAAGAUGCAUAUGGCAGCGGUUGUCACUUGCUGAAAUUUAAUGAGAAG